ACUAGCAAGAGACACAGUAGACUUCUACAUUUGUCAUGUAGAAGUACACAGCUGCUGCACUGAAAAUCUUUUACAGCAUCGGGACUAUAUGAGUGGGCCUAAUUAAAAAAAAACUUUUUUUUUUAAUUCUUUUUUUUUUUUUUUUUUUUUUUUCUACCUGAGCAAGGUUCUGCGAUCUCAUGUUAUUCAUCAUAUGUGAUGAUAAUGUCUAAUCGGCAUCUUUUUUGCUUGCCUGGAAAUUGCUGAAGGAAAUCCUUCCAAGCAUCAGCUGCCAGUAUCUGUGCAAUAGUCCAAAUCAAGGUCUGGCUUCACUAAAAAACUGUGCUGUUAGUUCUCUGAAUUUCAGUAAGGUUAACUAUUGCAUGGUGUUAUACGCACAGGUGCCUGCAGCAAGUUCUGCUGCUGAAACACAUAUAUGAAGAGUUUCUUCAUGCACUUUAUGUGCACUUGUCCUGGGAAAUUGUCGUUUGAGUCACAGUGGUUCUUCUCUAUAGAUGACUAUUUGGCUGGAAUUAGAAGGGAGCCUCCUGUGCACAUUUUCUUUGAUUAUAUUGAUCUAGAAAGUUCUUCAGUAAGCCUGGCUGAGUGAAACAUAAAGUCUGUCAAGACUUCUGGCUGAACAGUUUUAAGCUGUCUACUUCCUGAAAGCAAUACUGGAAUCAGAAGCCCUGCUGUGAUGGUGCAGUCUACUGGGUCACUUCUGUCUGGGUUGCAUGCUAAUCAACUCAACCUGAAAUGCUGAUGGUGUUAAAGUAUUCUGUACCAUUCAUAACGGUUAACUAAAAUGCAAACAUUUGAUUCAUGUCACACAAGAGAUUUGCCACCCAGGAAACUCAAAAUUAUGACUAAAAUAUCAGCCCAUCAUGUUCAUCUCAGACCCCUAGUACUUCAAACUCUAACACUGUAGGAGAAUGAGUUCAGCUUUCCCAAUGAUACCCGUGUCCUCUUUGUAAUGUGCAAUUAUUAUUUCACUAACACCUCUCAUUCUAUCUACGUCAAAACUUAGAGUGAAUCUAAUGAACAGAGACAAACUGAAAUGAUUGCCAGCAUCAAAGAGAAAAAUAUUUUAUGUUGUGUGUGAAGACAAUAAUGAGAGUUUAGUUUUGGUUUUCAUUUGCUUUCAUUUUGUCUUCUUGUAGAUUAAAAAUAGUCAAAGUAUGUUCUCAAGUUUUUAAUAAAAGGCUUUCAAGUAUUGAACA
Molecule: long non-coding RNA, 1199 nt
Filed under: Anas platyrhynchos platyrhynchos (common mallard)
Lineage: Eukaryota; Metazoa; Chordata; Aves; Anseriformes; Anatidae
Description: lncRNA (ENSAPLG00000018154.1)
Source: RNAcentral